RNAcentral lists this long non-coding RNA (1819 nucleotides) under Mus pahari (shrew mouse). Its description in RNAcentral is "lncRNA (MGP_PahariEiJ_G0003178.1)". The record is from RNAcentral. Lineage: Eukaryota; Metazoa; Chordata; Mammalia; Rodentia; Muridae.
GACUUUUGGAGGGCUGAGUUGCAGGCGGGCGGCGGGCGCAUCCCAGAGAUGGCGGGGCAGGGAGGGAGGGAAAGAGAGGAGGGGGUGGGGAGGGAGGCGCAGAUUUGCACGGAUGGCCUCAGCGGGAGGCGCGGAAAUGCUAGCCGAGCCUGCUGGCGUGAAAGCCCCCGGGGCCUGGCACCCCUCAAAACGACCCCCCCCACCUCUGCCCCUGCCCCCCCUCCCCCGCUUGGGUUACCUAGGGCUGUCCCUCUCUUCCUUCACCCACCUUUCCUCAUUACCUAUGCUGGCGACCUAAAUUCAAAGUAUUUUGUAUGUAUGAUUUCUUUUUCUGUUUUGCUUUUCUAUUGCAUGUCUAGGGGGGAGGGGCCAGCCUGUCCAGACCCUUAUCCAUUUGCGAACCUGCCAUAUGGAGGAGGCAUCUGAGGGGCUCAGGAAGAAAUGAUCGCAGCACUGUAUCUGUACAGACUGCAUAACUUUUAAACUCCCGGGGCUGAAAUAAUAAUAUGGAGACACACGCACAGGUACAGGAAAUACAGCCAGUCCACAGCCUUUUCAGACCGCAGCUGACCGGAAGAAAGCCUUUGGUUCAUUCAUUCGGAUAGCCUCGGUAGUAUAGCCCUGAAACAGAAGUUGGGCUUUUAAAAAGAAAGAAAAAAAAAAAAGUCUCUACACUCGCUCAGAAGAGAUAAAUCGAUACACAGGAGGGACUAGAGAAUCGGAUUCAGCGUCUCUAAUGCAGGCAGGCAAAAGGCUUCAGUGCCUUGUGGCUUGAAGUCAAAAAGAAAAAGAAAAAAAAAAACUCUUCAAAGACUGUCUGGCCUGACUCUUGGAGAACGGCUUAAUGUUCUACUUAGCAUUCUGGUUUUUUUGUUUGUUUUUUGUUUUUUCCAGUGUGCCUCUUCCUGUGUAAGGACUGGAAAGGACCCUGGGAAACCACAGAGCGCACCCCUGCCUCAAAGGAAUGAGGUGACCCUCCUCUGGUCUCUGUGAAUACAUCUGUCCAAGCAUCUGCAUGUAGCACAUACAUAAUAACCCAAUGCCCAAAUGCUGAGCCUGUGGCCCUAGAGGGCUGAUAGAUCUUUUUGCCUCUGUUAGACUGCCCUGAGAUCAGAGAGCUCCUGCACCCAGUGUACGUCAUAUCUGAAGUAGUGCCUCUGUCUGUCUGGUCCAAGACUACAACUUAAGUGGGAGCCCACACCCUGCCAUUUCUCCCCAAGUACCAGCCCUGCGUUACAAUCCCUCCCAUAAGGUGUAGUUUCUCUUUCCUGGGGAAAUUACUGCACUAGCUUUUGCAGGUGGUGUGUCACUGGCCACUGCCUUUUAACCCUUUUCAGAUGGCAUUCAGUAAUUCAUCGAUUGUUCAUGAGACGCAACCGUGAUACACACACACACACACACACACACACACACACACACACAGAGCAGCCUUUAUAGGAAACUCUCCUGUUCCCUCCCUCCCCGUGCCACCUGUUCCUGGAAGAGAACAGGCUUUCCCCUGGGGAGGAUGGAAUGUUCCACAAAAGGACAGUUGGCUCUUCUCCCCAGCUCCAAGAGAAACUCUUAAUCAUCUAACAUCUGCCUCUUGUUUAAGUAAAAAAUUCUUUGCAAAGACCGAUCUUGUCUCCAGCCCCAUGGAUCCGGCUCACAGGGUACACACUUAAAAAUACGUAGGGGGCUGGAGAGAUGGCCCAGUGGUUAAGGACACUUGCUGUCCUGACCAAAGGACCUGAGUGGCUCACAACCAUCUCUCAUGCAUGCUCUCAAAUGUGCGCGAGCACACACAUACCUGUGCGUAAAAAAUAUGAUUAAAAAAAAA